CCUGGUCGGACAUCAGGAGGUUAGUGCAAUGGCAAAAGCUAGCUUGACUGCGAGAGUGACGGCUCGAGCAGGUACGAAAGUAGGUCAUAGUGAUCCGGUGGUUCUGAAUGGAAGGGCCAUCGCUCAACGGAUAAAAGGUACUCCGGGGAUAACAGGCUGAUACCGCCCAAGAGUUCAUAUCGACGGCGGUGUUUGGCACCUCGAUGUCGGCUCAUCACAUCCUGGGGCUGAAGUAGGUCCCAAGGGUACGGCUGUUCGCCGUUUAAAGUGGUACGCGAGCUGGGUUUAGAACGUCGUGAGACAGUUCGGUCCCUAUCUGCCAUGGGCGUAGGAAAAUUGAGAGGGUUUGCUUCUAGUACGAGAGGACCGAAGUGAACGCACCGCUGGUGUACGGGUUGUGAUGCCAAUUGCAUUGCCCGGUAGCUACGUGCGGGAUAGAUAAGUGCUGAAAGCAUCUAAGCACGAAACUAGCCUUGAGAUGAGUUUUCCCAGAUGAGAAUCUGUAAGGUCCGUUUGAGACUAAGACGUAGAUAGGUCAGGUGUGUAAGUGUAGUGAUACAUUGAGCUAACUGAUACUAAUGAACCGAGAGUCUUAACCUUACAACUC
Molecule: ribosomal RNA, 607 nt
Filed under: Gilliamella apicola
Lineage: Bacteria; Pseudomonadati; Pseudomonadota; Gammaproteobacteria; Orbales; Orbaceae
Also listed under: 1 other name
Description: bacterial LSU rRNA
Rfam family: Bacterial large subunit ribosomal RNA
Source: RNAcentral